Molecule: ribosomal RNA, 253 nt
Filed under: uncultured bacterium
Lineage: Bacteria
Description: partial 16S ribosomal RNA
Rfam family: Bacterial small subunit ribosomal RNA
Source: RNAcentral
UACGGAGGGCGCAAGCGUUGUCCGGAUUUAUUGGGUUUAAAGGGUGCGUAGGCGGCUUUUUAAGUCAGUGGUGAAAUCCUCCAGCUUAACUGGAGUCGUGCCAUUGAUACUGGGAAGCUUGAGUACAGGCGAGGUUGGCGGAAUUGAAGGUGUAGCGGUGAAAUGCAUAGAUAUCGUCAAGAACACCGAUUGCGAAGGCAGCUAACUAGACUGUAACUGACGCUGAGGCACGAAAGUGUGGGGAUCGAACAGG